GAGCGGACCGGCCGCCAUAGCGGCGGGGCGGCACCGGGGAAGACGCUGGCCGUGUGCAGUCCUUGCGUUCCACCUACAGAAUCAGACCUCACAAAAGCAAUGAGUGAAGCACCCGCUUAAAUGUCGAUGCGGCAUUUGCAGAUCCACAGAGCAUUGCACCAAAGGAGGGAUAUCAGCACGGCUCCUGUGUGGCGCAUUCACCGUCUGCAGUGACAGGGGGGAGCGGGACACACAGCUGAUUUAUGGCUCUGUCCCUAAAUGGACAUGGUGGAGCAAAGCCAGAGCACAUGGAUAAAAAUCCUGGAGUGUGAUGCCUAUAGUGUCUGAAUAUGCAAAUAAAAAGAACACUGGAAUUCUGGGAACAACUCAAGAACAAGAGACUCUAAAAAGCAGUGAACCGAAGUAAAAUCCAGGACUGAAGUCGCACUUUAGACUAGUGCAAAAGAACACUCAGGACUGUGAUUCAGGAUGUUAGGAGAGCAGAGCUGCUGGCUGGAAGGAGAGGGCUUUCCCACCCCACUUUGGUGCUGGAAGAAGGCAGCAUGCAGAGAGAUGACAUUUUUCCAUGUUCAGCCAUUUUGGAAGGGACGAUCCUGUGAUCUUUCCCAACACUUUCUAGCUUACCCCUCUGGGAUCUUACAUCAGUCAUUUAGCCAUGGUUUAGGGGGGAGUUGGAACACGUUAGGAAGCCUUGGUGAGGAGAAACCCAAUCUGACACUUCCCCAGUUCUGGCAAGUGGUUUAGGGCUAGAAAGUGGUAGCAGGUGAUGCUGUCACUCUUGGCCUCUGUCUCCAAAUCAACUGUAGAAAAGAGGCAUUUCCCUCACAUUCCUGGUCUUAAUCUCGCUCAGAUGGUGUUUGCUCCUGAGGAGGACGGCUAAUCAAUAGAGUUCUCCCUGAAUUAUCUGAGAAAUGAAGGAGGGUGAGAGAAAGUGGUUAGUCCUGAAACUUGCAUGUUUUCUUGUAAUUGACAUAGAUUUA
This is a long non-coding RNA of Hirundo rustica (Barn swallow), 980 nucleotides long. RefSeq lists it as uncharacterized. Lineage: Eukaryota; Metazoa; Chordata; Aves; Passeriformes; Hirundinidae. The record is from RefSeq and is a predicted model, not a curated record. The transcript is spliced from 4 exons.